This is an unclassified non-coding RNA of Macaca fascicularis (crab-eating macaque), 267 nucleotides long. It matches the Rfam family "Metazoan signal recognition particle RNA". From Rfam's summary of the family: The signal recognition particle (SRP) is a universally conserved ribonucleoprotein. It is involved in the co-translational targeting of proteins to membranes. The record is from Ensembl. NCBI's taxonomy places the organism in Eukaryota, Metazoa, Chordata, Mammalia, Primates, Cercopithecidae.
GUCCGAUGAGGUGGCAUGCGCCAAUAGUCCUAGCUACUCUUGAGGCUGAGGCAGGAGGAUUACUUGAGCCCAGGAGUUCUGGCCUGUAGUGCAUCAUGCACAUUGGGUGUCCACGGAGGGGUGACCACCAGGUUGCCUAAGGAGAGGGGAACUGGCCCAGGUUGGAAAUAGAGCAAGUUAAAACUUCUGUGCUGAACAGCCGUGGGAUUACUCCUGUGAAUAGCUACUGCACUCUAGCCUGGGCAACAUAACUUUACCCCCUUUCAA